This 253-nucleotide non-coding RNA is filed under the name uncultured bacterium. RNAcentral describes it as "partial 16S ribosomal RNA". It matches the Rfam family "Bacterial small subunit ribosomal RNA", at positions 524 to 776 of the family's 1533-position model. RNAcentral also lists the same sequence under 1 other name. The record is from RNAcentral.
UACGUAGGGUGCAAGCGUUGUCCGGAAUUAUUGGGCGUAAAGAGCUCGUAGGCGGUUUGUCGCGUCGGCUGUGAAAACCCGGAGCUCAACUCCGGGCCUGCAGUCGAUACGGGCAGACUUGAGUGUUGCAGGGGAGACUGGAAUUCCUGGUGUAGCGGUGAAAUGCGCAGAUAUCAGGAGGAACACCGGUGGCGAAGGCGGGUCUCUGGGCAACAACUGACGCUGAGGAGCGAAAGCGUGGGGAGCGAACAGG